RNAcentral lists this ribosomal RNA (405 nucleotides) under Boana hobbsi (Hobbs' treefrog). RNAcentral describes it as "partial large subunit ribosomal RNA". It matches the Rfam family "Bacterial large subunit ribosomal RNA", at positions 1856 to 2461 of the family's 2925-position model. The record is from RNAcentral. Lineage: Eukaryota; Metazoa; Chordata; Amphibia; Anura; Hylidae.
AGCCUGCCCAGUGGCUUAUUUCAACGGCCGCGGUAUCCUAACCGUGCGAAGGUAGCGUAAUCACUUGUUCUUUAAAUGAGGACUAGUAUGAAUGGCAUCACGAGGGCCAUACUGUCUCCUUUUUUUAAUCAGUGAAACUAAUCUCCCCGUGAAGAAGCGGGGAUAAGUAUAUAAGACGAGAAGACCCUAUGGAGCUUUAAACAAACUAACAAUUGUUUCAAAAACUCUACUUUCAGAAAUACCACAAAAAGCAUAACAUUUUGAUUUAAAAUUUUAGACUGGGGUGAUCACGGAGUAAAAAAUAACCUCCAUGCUGAAAGGUAAAAAUCCCUGAGCAAAAAUCCACAACUUCAUGCACUAGAAAACUAACAUAAAUUGACCCAAUAUUUUGAUCAACGAACCAAG